RNAcentral lists this ribosomal RNA (462 nucleotides) under Yersinia kristensenii. RNAcentral describes it as "bacterial SSU rRNA". It matches the Rfam family "Bacterial small subunit ribosomal RNA", at positions 37 to 488 of the family's 1533-position model. The record is from RNAcentral. Lineage: Bacteria; Pseudomonadati; Pseudomonadota; Gammaproteobacteria; Enterobacterales; Yersiniaceae.
UGGCGGCAGGCCUAACACAUGCAAGUCGAGCGGCAGCGGGAAGUAGUUUACUACUUUGCCGGCGAGCGGCGGACGGGUGAGUAAUGUCUGGGAAACUGCCUGAUGGAGGGGGAUAACUACUGGAAACGGUAGCUAAUACCGCAUGACCUCGCAAGAGCAAAGUGGGGGACCUUAGGGCCUCACGCCAUCGGAUGUGCCCAGAUGGGAUUAGCUAGUAGGUGGGGUAAUGGCUCACCUAGGCGACGAUCCCUAGCUGGUCUGAGAGGAUGACCAGCCACACUGGAACUGAGACACGGUCCAGACUCCUACGGGAGGCAGCAGUGGGGAAUAUUGCACAAUGGGCGCAAGCCUGAUGCAGCCAUGCCGCGUGUGUGAAGAAGGCCUUCGGGUUGUAAAGCACUUUCAGCGAGGAGGAAGGCAAUCGUGUUAAUAGCACGGUUGAUUGACGUUACUCGCAGAAGA